GGUCUGAUGCCACGUCUCUUGUAGCUAUAAAUAUGAGCUCUGACCAGAGAUGCUAUGAUUGGACCUAAAUUAAGAGUGAAUUUCAUUUGUUUUGCAUUCUGAUAGGAAUCUGCUGAUCCUUUAUACUAUGAUUCUGCAGAGCCGAUUUGUGCGAUUACAUUU
Non-coding RNA from Cicer arietinum (chickpea), 162 nucleotides. NCBI's taxonomy places the organism in Eukaryota, Viridiplantae, Streptophyta, Magnoliopsida, Fabales, Fabaceae. The record is from Rfam.